Molecule: long non-coding RNA, 743 nt
Filed under: Homo sapiens (human)
Lineage: Eukaryota; Metazoa; Chordata; Mammalia; Primates; Hominidae
Description: HSALNT0334231
Source: RNAcentral
GUCCAGUUCACACCACCUGAAAAACUGAGGGCCUCAGAGAAACUGAGGCCUCAGAGAAACAGAGAAACUGAGGGCCUCAGAGAACUCCUGCAGGCCCUCCAGCUGGCCACUGCCAGCCCUGCCCAGGACCCCAUAUCUCACCAGUUACUUGUGUCCACCCUGUCUCCUUGCUCCAUCCUACCCCAGUUUAGAGAGUGAGAAUGCUGGCUGGGACCCCAAAGACCUAUCUGCAACUCCCCAACUCCAAGAAAGGGGGGGCUCCAACAAGGCAGGGCUGUAAUGAGAUGGAAGAUUUGGGCUAAUCCGGAGCCAAAUGAGGGCCUAAUUCCUGCUGUAAAAAUCUGUCAGCUGCUAGUUAACAGUUCCUCUGGCCCUGGGCUUGAGGGUGGGGGUGGGGGGUGGCCUCUGUUUGCAGGAGCAGUUGGGCUUGUACCUAGGGUGUUGUUUUUCUCCCUUUUCCUUGUUUUUACGUUUUUGGAAUGUGAAUAUAAACUUUAUGGAGGGGCCUGGUCUCUGUUCACACCGGGUGCUAAUAACCCACAGCUGAAAGCAGAGGCUCAGAGGAAACCCGGGAGGUGCAGCGCGCAGAAGGCUACAGGAACCGGAGGGGCGGGCACGCGGCUGGAGGAGGGGGCCGGGACGAUAUUUAAUAUUUAAUUUGCUGGGUUUUUUUUUUUUUUAAUGUGGAAACUUUUAGACACAAACUGGCCCCUGUGUUUAAGUCAUUAAAACAUCUUUAAGCA